UAAAGAAAAUGUAUCGUGGUCUCUGCCAGCAUGACCUCACUCCAGAAUGUUCUUUCGACAUUCCAUCAGCCCUCAGUGAGACCAAGAAGCAGAACUCAUGAGAGGCCAAGCGCAGAGAAGAUCUAGAACGAGAACAAAAUGCUUUUGCACAACACCGUUGGUCUAAAUGCAAUCGGAAUGAAAAUAAUAUUUUCAAUAGUGAAGAUGAAGCACCAUCAAUCACAAGGGGAUUCCAAGAGAAAAGCACUGGAGCAGUGUUGCUUUCCACCUCUAGAGGGCACUAUCCCACAAGCAGUGAUGUAGAGAAUACGAAGCAAGAAGAACCCAUGAUCCAAGUUGAUGUAAACCAGCUUCUUAUAUUCCUAUUCUUUGCUAUUUGCUUCCCCAUUGCCCACAAAUACACACCUUGCAUUAUGAGACAGAGAUCUGACCUUACAUAUCAAAGGUGGAGGAUCUCUUUCAUCUCAAAGUGUGAACUCAGUUCUCGGGGAGUUCCUAUGGACCACGUUCCAGUGGUGGGCAGAGCUAGAGGAUAG
This 536-nucleotide long non-coding RNA is filed under the name Pogona vitticeps (central bearded dragon). RNAcentral's name for it is "lncRNA (ENSPVIG00000003586.1)". The record is from RNAcentral. Lineage: Eukaryota; Metazoa; Chordata; Lepidosauria; Squamata; Agamidae.